Molecule: long non-coding RNA, 218 nt
Filed under: Lathyrus oleraceus (garden pea)
Lineage: Eukaryota; Viridiplantae; Streptophyta; Magnoliopsida; Fabales; Fabaceae
Description: Pisum sativum (pea) long non-coding RNA (PSAT_LNC013726)
Source: RNAcentral
UUGUUUUUUCUUUGCUGUGGUUUUGUUUUGAAGACCUCCCUUUGGUUGGACUUCUAUUUUGCCGGCUUUUGUUUUUAGUGCCUAGUAUUCUUGAUUGUAUCUCUAACUCUUCUAUUUUCAUUAAUAUAUUUUGGUCUGCAGUGCUAUUAAAAAAACAUUGCUUUGACAUAUCUUUAAAUCUUAAUGAUGUACAUGAGAAAUGUUUAAGUUGUGUUGCA